This 465-nucleotide ribosomal RNA is filed under the name uncultured Klebsiella sp. RNAcentral's name for it is "bacterial SSU rRNA". It matches the Rfam family "Bacterial small subunit ribosomal RNA", at positions 338 to 795 of the family's 1533-position model. The record is from RNAcentral. Lineage: Bacteria; Pseudomonadati; Pseudomonadota; Gammaproteobacteria; Enterobacterales; Enterobacteriaceae.
CCUACGGGGGGCUGCAGUGGGGAAUAUUGCACAAUGGGCGCAAGCCUGAUGCAGCCAUGCCGCGUGUGUGAAGAAGGCCUUCGGGUUGUAAAGCACUUUCAGCGGGGAGGAAGGCGUUAAGGUUAAUAACCUUGGCGAUUGACGUUACCCGCAGAAGAAGCACCGGCUAACUCCGUGCCAGCAGCCGCGGUAAUACGGAGGGUGCAAGCGUUAAUCGGAAUUACUGGGCGUAAAGCGCACGCAGGCGGUCUGUCAAGUCGGAUGUGAAAUCCCCGGGCUCAACCUGGGAACUGCAUUCGAAACUGGCAGGCUAGAGUCUUGUAGAGGGGGGUAGAAUUCCAGGUGUAGCGGUGAAAUGCGUAGAGAUCUGGGGGAAUACCGGUGGCGAAGGCGGCCCCCUGGACAAAGACUGACGCUCAGGUGCGAAAGCGUGGGGAGCAAACAGGAUUAGAUACCCCGGUAGUC